This 375-nucleotide ribosomal RNA is filed under the name uncultured organism. RNAcentral's name for it is "bacterial SSU rRNA". It matches the Rfam family "Archaeal small subunit ribosomal RNA", at positions 476 to 851 of the family's 1478-position model. The record is from RNAcentral.
CCAGCACCCCGAGUGGUCGGGACGAUUAUUGGGCCUAAAGCAUCCGUAGCCGGUUUUACAAGUCCUCCGUUAAAUCCAACUGCUUAACAGAUGGGCCGCGGAGGAUACUAUAAGACUAGGUGGCAGGAGAGGCAAGCGGUACUCAGUGGGUAGGGGUAAAAUCCGUUGAUCCAUUGAAGACCACCAGUGGCGAAGGCGGCUUGCCAGAAUGCGCUCGACGGUGAGGGAUGAAAGCUGGGGGAGCAAACCGGAUUAGAUACCCGGGUAGUCCCAGCUGUAAACGAUGCAGACUCGGUGAUGGACUAGCUUCAUGCUAGUCCAGUGCCGCAGGGAAGCCGUUAAGUCUGCCGCCUGGGUAGUACGGUCGCAAGACUG